This is a long non-coding RNA of Gekko japonicus, 344 nucleotides long. RefSeq lists it as uncharacterized. The record is from RefSeq and is a predicted model, not a curated record. The transcript is spliced from 4 exons. NCBI's taxonomy places the organism in Eukaryota, Metazoa, Chordata, Lepidosauria, Squamata, Gekkonidae.
GUGAAGGCUUCGGAAAAGCUGGCCCAGAACAAGGAGGUGCAACAGAAAACUGCAAAAUGGGCAUCACAGCCUGCAGUGUCUGCCCCAAAGUCGACUGCCACAAAGCCCAAGAGACCUGAACAGCUUAAGCCUACCAGGACUUGGUUGCCAGGGACUAAGAAUGCCACUUCAUCAGCCUUAAGCAGAGCACCAGUCAGUGACAGAGGUGUAGGCAAACCUAAGCAGACUGUGCCACCUGCUGGUCAGGCUGCAGCAGUGCAGCAGCAAAAAAGCACCCAGGCCACACAAAGAGAUCCCAUCAGAGCCGCCACCAUCCCAAAGGCCAAGCCUUCAAGCACUAACCC